UCUAGAUAUUAUAGAGAACUCCAAACAACCCAAUCUGCUAAUCUGUGAUACCGCUUUAUACUCACGACCUUGUAUCCACUGACUGUCUUGUUAGAUUAAUCCAAAAAUUUUCAUUCACUCCGCAUACUCAAUCCUAUAGACACCCUUUUAAUUCUUCAAUCAUAGAUGUAACUUCAAUUUCACAAAACAGUCAAGAGUAAUCACAUCCACUUCAUUAAAAAUUCCAAUUCACCAUUACAACACUGACUUCAGCAACGAUUGCCUCAGUCUUCCCAAAACCCUAUGAAGAAAAAAAAACCCCAAUUCUCUGUCUUUUUUUUCCCUCCCGAAGCAUGAAGCUAGCGCUCCGACCCUUCUAAAAACUUAUUCUCUCCCCUCUUUCAAACCCU
This 389-nucleotide long non-coding RNA is filed under the name Physcomitrium patens. RNAcentral describes it as "long non-coding RNA (PPAT_LNC002381)". Lineage: Eukaryota; Viridiplantae; Streptophyta; Bryopsida; Funariales; Funariaceae. The record is from RNAcentral.